AACUUUCAGCAACGGAUCUCUAGGUUCCUGCAUCGAUGAAGAACGCAGUGAAGUGCGAAAAGUAAUGCGAUUUGCAUGCUCUGUGAGUCAUCGAAUCUUUGAACGCAUAUGGCACCUCUUGGUUCCUACUAAGAGGUAUGCCUGUUUGAGAAUCAUUUAUCCCUUUUGAUCCACUGGAUCACACAUCCACUUUGGUUGUUGAUCCCCAGUUGGUCAAGACAUGGACCUUCAUCACUGAUCGUCUUGAAUUCAGGCACGGGUUGUUCGUGAGAGUGGAAGCCAAUUCUAUUGAUCGACCAAUCCGCUCAUAUAUACCCCAGUGAUCUCAAAUCAGGCAAGACUACCCGCUGAACUUAAGCAUAUCAAUAAGCGGAGGCU
Molecule: unclassified non-coding RNA, 378 nt
Filed under: uncultured fungus
Lineage: Eukaryota; Fungi
Description: sequence contains ITS2
Rfam family: 5.8S ribosomal RNA (bases 1-155)
Source: RNAcentral